This 465-nucleotide ribosomal RNA is filed under the name uncultured bacterium. RNAcentral describes it as "partial 16S ribosomal RNA". It matches the Rfam family "Bacterial small subunit ribosomal RNA", at positions 28 to 507 of the family's 1533-position model. The record is from RNAcentral.
GACGAACGCUGGCGGCGUGCUUAACACAUGCAAGUCGAACGGAAAGGCCCUGCUUGCAGGGUACUCGAGUGGCGAACGGGUGAGUAACACGUGGGUGAUCUGCCCUGCACUUCGGGAUAAGCCUGGGAAACUGGGUCUAAUACCGGAUAGGAGCCAUUUUUAGUGUGAUGGUUGGAAAGUUUUUUCGGUGUAGGAUGAGCUCGCGGCCUAUCAGCUUGUUGGUGGGGUAAUGUCCUACCAAGGCGGCGUCGCGUAGCCGGCCUGAGUGGGUGGCCGGCCACAUUGGGACUGAGAUACGGCCGAGACUCCUACGGGAGGCAGCAGUGGGGAAGAUUGCACAAUGGGCGCAAGCCUGAUGCAGCGACGCCGCGUGGGGGAUGACGGCCUUCGGGGUGUAAACUCCUUUCGCUAGGGACGAAGCUUUUUGUGACGGUACCUAGAUAAGAAGCACCGGCUAACUACGUG